Long non-coding RNA from Etheostoma spectabile (orangethroat darter), 117 nucleotides. RefSeq lists it as uncharacterized. The transcript is spliced from 3 exons. NCBI's taxonomy places the organism in Eukaryota, Metazoa, Chordata, Actinopteri, Perciformes, Percidae. The record is from RefSeq and is a predicted model, not a curated record.
UGUUUACAUGCAUAUAAUAUUCAGUUUUUUGCCUUUAUUCUGAAAAAGAUAAUAUUCCAACUAAGUUGUUUACACGGCUAAUGAAAGUAAAUAUUGCACUAAUAUGGGAAAAAUUUG